UGGGGAAUUUUGGACAAUGGGCGCAAGCCUGAUCCAGCCAUUCCGCGUGCAGGAUGAAGGCCCUCGGGUUGUAAACUGCUUUUGUACAGAACGAAAAGGUUUCUACUAAUACUAGGAGCUCAUGACGGUACUGUAAGAAUAAGCACCGGCUAACUACGUGCCAGCAGCCGCGGUAAUACGUAGGGUGCAAGCGUUAAUCGGAAUUACUGGGCGUAAAGCGUGCGCAGGCGGUUAUAUAAGUCAGAUGUGAAAUCCCCGGGCUCAACCUGGGAACUGCAUUUGAGACUGUAUAGCUAGAGUACGGCAGAGGGGGAUGGAAUUCCGCGUGUAGCAGUGAAAUGCGUAGAUAUGCGGAGGAACACCGAUGGCGAAGGCAAUCCCCUGGGCCUGUACUGACGCU
This 400-nucleotide ribosomal RNA is filed under the name uncultured bacterium. RNAcentral describes it as "bacterial SSU rRNA". It matches the Rfam family "Bacterial small subunit ribosomal RNA", at positions 355 to 747 of the family's 1533-position model. The record is from RNAcentral.